UGCUGAGCCACAGGCCUGCAGAGGGCACGCCAGUGUCAGCUGGGGUAAACCCAAUGGAGACAGCAUCUCGGGACAGCAGGUCAAGGACAGGGAUGGCACCAAGGGAUGAGCCUGGGAUCCCUGCAGGGUCCUGGUGUGGGCACCAGUGCUCACCUGCAGCCUGAGGGACCCUCGACCCACCGACCCAUGAUGCUACUGCUCAGCAUCAAGGUGCCCUAUGGAAAACAGCAGUAUUGCCUGGGACUUACAGUUGUGGCUUCAAACAAGUGGAAGACAACAUAGACAGGCAUGACCCAUGCCACCAAGUCAGCGAUCUCCCUGAGGACAGAGACAAGGCAAUGAUCACUUUUGGGAACUGACCUCUGUGCACCGAGGCCAGGAGCUGGGGGCACUCACUUGUCCUUGGUGAAGAUGUAUCCCAGCACGUUCUUCGUGGAGGCUAAAAUGAUCCCCACGGCUAUGCAGAACGCCCCUGGAAACAGAGCAAAGUGCUGAGCCCAGCCUGGCCAUGAUGCAGAACUGCUGAAGGGAGAGAGCAGUGGGAGAAGUGGCAAAUGCUCCCUGCCCCUGCUCUACCUGGAAGGAGCCCAGAGGCAGAGGCUUCCCAGCGUGUCAUGGACUGACCUGUGCAGAGCAGGCUGGUGGUGGAGGAUCUCUUGGCUGUCUCGAAGUCUCCAGCACCCAGAGCAUUCCCCACCUGCACACUGGCAGCUGUGCCGAGCCCCAGGGGGAUCUGCAACCACAGGGCUGAGGCUCGUGUGUGUGUCUGGGUAACUGGGCUGUCACAGUGACAGUGCAGUAAUGACCCACCAGAGAGGGGGACGGAGUUUAGGAUUUGAUUUGAGGCAUCUCUGUAGGAGGGAUAGGCAGGAGCAGAGAGAGGCUUAAGUGCAGACGGGGAAGAUGGAGGUUUGCUGGAGCUGAUUUUUGCUGGGUGCCUAUCUCGGGACGGUCCCCAUGGAGCCCUGAUCUGUAAUAAUAACCCCAGUCCUUACCAUGAAAGCAACGACAGACACCUCAUAGAUGAUGGACUGGGCGGAGAGUUCGACAACGCUCAGCAGGCCUGGGGGAGAGGAAGGGGGUCAGUGCUGGCUGUGGGUUCCCAGGGGAGAGCUGCUCUCAGCCCCUGCAGCUGCUGCAGAUACUGCUCUGGGUCAUCUCCUGGCAGCUCCUCUCUCCACUGACCUAUCAAGAAGCUCCCGAUUUCGUAGGUCCACCACUCAAUGCACAUCAUGAGCAUGCUGGGGAUGGCCAGGGAGGUGAAGCUGUCCCACUCCAGCAGGCACUCGCUGGACCAGCCUGCAGAGAGGAGAAACAUCACCUGAUGGAUGACCAGACUGGACAUGUGUUACACCCUGGAGAGCACCUGAGGCAGCUAGAGGUGCCAUUCCUGUUCACAGCCACCAGGGCAAUGCUCCUCAGCUCCACAGGACCUCCAGCAGCAGAGCUCCACCUACAUGCUCUCCGAUGUCCUGUGGGCCACAGGGCAGUGCAACCCUCAGCCCAUCCCUCCCAGAGCAGAGUGUCUAAGGGCAACCUCGUGCUUACGUCUGUGCUCAUCUGGCUUUGGGGCUGAACCCUUGAAAGCCUCAGCAGGAAGUUUCAUUUCUCCAGAAUUAAUGUUUAGUGCCCAGCACGGGCCCUGCCAGCGCUCGUGCAUGACGUGCUGCCACCGAAGCAGCUCUGUGGUACCCGGGGUGUGUGGGGCUGGGGUUAAUAUUUCACCAUCGGGACAAACAGAGUUUGUCUUCCAUCAGGAAUGCUUGAUAGAAGUGGUGGAAGUUUUAUGGACACCUGGGUAAAGCGUGAACCAGAGGGAAUGGGGGGGAUGCCCUCACCUCCCCAGGUCUUCACGUGGAGUUUCCUGCCUAUGAUGUACAGGAACAAGAAAAUGGCUUGCGAGUACUGAGCAACGGUGUUGGACCAGGCAGAGCCCCUGCAGAGGAAGUGAGAAAGGUCUGUCUCCAUCCUCCUUAAGCCUCCCUGGCCUCAGGGUGCUGGGACAUGACAUCCUGCCAUGCCCCUCUGAGCAGGAGAUGCUCGGUGUUCUCUUGCCGCUGCCAGGUGCCACAUUGUCCCCUCUGUGGGACACAGGUGCAACUCACGUGAUGCCGAAGUGGAACACGUAGAGGAAGAUGCAGUUUGCAGCCACAUUGACGAUGUUGCCGAUGACUCCACUCAGCACCAGCGGCCACAUGAUCAUCUGCAAAGAAGAGGGGACGGGGCCACAGUGUCUUCACACCUCCAGGAGGGAGGUGUGAAGGUCCCCACCAGCCCCAGGGCUCAGCGCCUUUCCCAGGCAAAUAAUGAACUUCCAGUGACGUUGCCUGCUUGGAAAACGAAUGUGUUGGAGGUCUGCAAGGCGAAGAGGGCAGUGGUAAAGUCAGCUGGUGCUGGGGGAUAGGGACCCCACAGAGCACAGAGCAGCCGUGACCACCCUGAAGACCACCCAGGAAGGAUUUGGAGCAUGGAUCUCCCUGUUAUGGGAUUGCUACCCAGGGACAAGCUUUCCCAGCUCACAGGAGCAGCCAGGGCUCCAUAGGGCAUCAUCAGCUGAUGCUGGAAAUCCCUGUGUCCCCAAGACAAGUGCCAGCAUGUCUUACCCACCUGUGAUAUCAAGGUGUCACAUGCUGAAGUCAGACCAUAACCUACAGAGAUGGCAGUAACAUUUAUAACCUGGGAACGGGAGUCAAGAAAACAAAGAGUGAAGGUGAGCAUUUAAGACUUUCAGGUAGGGAGAGGGGUUAAAAGGAAGAGUGGCAAUCUGAAAUCUCCUGUCCUUUUCUGCUGCCAUUCCUUUAUCCCAUCCCAGCAUCAGCGGGCCAGGGGGGAGCUCGUGCCUGGCACUGGGAAUGCUUACAGCGAUGGCCAGCGUGACGGAGGCCAGCUCAACCUUGCCCAGGUGGCCACAGAAUAUGGAGCUAACGAGGUGUAUCAGGAAGAUCAGCAGCUGGAUCAGGAUCUAAGCACAGAGGAGAGGAGAGGAGAGGCGAAGCUCCCGGGUGUGAGAUUGUCCUGGCCGGCGGCCGCUGCCUCACCGUUCUCCUCGGGGAGGUUCUCUGUCUUCGUGCUGCCAUUCUCCUCAGGAAGGUUCUCCGGCUUCAUGCUGCUGCUCUGCCAGGGGAGUGGAACAACCCCUCCCUCCACGCUCUGUUAAACCACGGUGGGCCCACAGGUAACCAGCACUCCGAGCCAGGGUGACAGGGAGGUGCCAUCCAUCUGCUUUACACGGGAUUUACCUCCAAGGGCCCAGCAUGUGCCACGUCUCAGUCACUCAGCUGCAGGUCAAGAGUGAGCUACAGGCAGCUUUGCACCCUCCACGGCACCCCAGCCUGCAGGGAGGAAUCACUCCACACGCUGGAAUACUCACUGCUGUCGCAUCAAACAAGUGGAACGGACCAAAAAUGAUCAUCACUUUGGACACCAAGUUAAUGAUCUCCCUGUUGGGAAGAUGACCUGAGCUCACCUGUGCACAGCAGUGCAGUGAUGCAGGAGGUCUUGGCUUGCACCACAUCCCCCGAUCCCAAGGCAUUGCCCACCCUGACACUCGCAGCCACGCUGAUGCCCAGAGGCACCUGAGCAGCAGGAGACAAGAGGAGGUGAGUGGCAGCAGAGCCUGCAGUGACAACAGAGCCUGCAGCAAUUUUUUUCUUCUCCAGAGGGGAAUUUGGGACAAACUGGGCACGGCUGCAGUAAAGGGAUUUUCCAUCUGCAGCACACCCUGCAUGUGCAGCUGCUGUGGCAGGUCUGAGAGGCAUCACCUGCCUGGUACUGCCCCCUGUUCCCACCUCAGAUUGACCACAGAGCCACUGUUUGGGGGCUGCUCCCAGGCUGUUUGGGGUUUCCUACACCCAGCUCUUACCGUGUAGGCGGCACAGGCGAGCUCGUAGAUGAUGGAUUGUGCACCCAGCUCCACCACACUGAGCAGCCCUGCAAAAGAUUCAUCACCUCCUUUGUUUGCUGACAAGGAGGCAGCGACUACAGGGUUCCCACUGAAGGGAUGGGAACACCUGCAGUGUCCUGCAGACCCGGUCCUGUAGGUGAGGAAGCUGCUGGCAGGAGGAGCUCUGGGGACACAGUCAAGAAGCAGCCACCAGAGCAGGUACAGCUGUAAGGCAGCCUGUUGAACCACAGGAAAAAGAGGAUUUGGACUCACCAGCCAAGAAGCCCCCAAUCUCAAAGGUCCACCACUCAAUGCACAUCAUGAUCAUGCUGGGCACUGCCAGCCAGAUGAAGGAGCCCCAGUCCAGGAGGCAGUCCCUGCUCCAACCUGCAACGAGGAUGUGAAGCAAAAUGAACACAUGUUCUCCCUCUCCAUCCCCAAAGGGGAACCAUAUGCUCUUCUGGACAGUCUCAGAGGACAACCAUCACUGCAGCUCACAGGACACCUGCCUAGGAUUGCUGCUAUGCCAUGCUGCAUUCCUGAGACAGGAUGUUCAACAAGAAUGUAUUUGGAGCUACAGUAAAGGCCUUGAGGACAUGACUUCAGCAUCUUCCCACUGUGAGGGGAUGACAAUCCCUUUGUCAGAUGCUGGUGACUGUGCCAAAUUCCCAGGGUCAGACACUGGUAUUCUGAAGGAUUAAACUAUAACAGUACCUCCCCAGGUCUUCACAUGGAUCUUCUUCCACCACAUGUAAAGGAAGAGGAGGAUGGCCUGGGUGUACUGAGAAACAGUGUUAGCCCAAGCAGAGCCCCUGCAGAGGGAGAUAGGCAAGUUACAAGUGACAUCCUUCCCAAUCUCCUCAGCUACAGCAGGAGAGACCCAGUGAGUCUUGCUCAAGCCUUGUACCACACAAGCCUUGCUCCCUCCAGCCUCAUCUUUGCAGGCUGGUUGUCUGGGGGCAGAGGGUGGCAGAACUGGGCACCCAGGACACCCCCCCAGCCUUGAGCACACAGGGAGAGACUGUGACCACCCCUGCUCACACUUACACCAUGCCCAGCUUCAGUGCAUAGAGGAAGAAGGCGUUCAUGGCCACGUUGAGGAUGUUGGCUGCAAUCCCGGUCAACACCUGAGGCAGAAUGAUCGCCUGGAAGCCAAGGAGGGACUUUGGACUUUGAUUCCCCAGUGCUGCCCAAGCCCCAUCCAGUAAACACAAGGGAGAACUUCAGCAGUGCCCAAGGAGAAAGCCAGCUCCUGUUCCAGCUGGUACAGAAACGCCGCCUGCAAGAGUCAGGAUUCAGUUCAUCAUCAGACCAUUGAACACUGACAGACCAGUCCCCCCACCACCUUCUUGGGGUGCCCCAGCCAGCACCUUCCCGACACCCCGUUCCUGUGCUCUGUCUGAAGUGUGGCACCUGCCAGCACUGCACCUAAAAGUGUAACAGAAGACAUCUCCCAUUCCCACUGGGAAGAGAGAUCAGUCUCCAGAUGGGAAAUCUCCAAUGCUUCCCCAUCAGCCUGAGAAAGCUUGGAAAGCUUAGAAGAAAGGAUAAACCUACAGACCCUUAUUCCACAGGGAUACUGUUCCCUGCCUUAGAGAAGUCGGAGUAACCAGCUGGAGCCCAGCAGCUGUGUGUGAACAGCAAGCUCCAGCCUUCAUUUUGGAGCUAAGAGUGAGCCUGGAGCCCCUGGUUCCAAUAUCCGCUACCACUUGUGUGGCCACAGCAAAAGCCUUUGCACAGGAAGAUCAGAGACCUCGUGUUUGCUGGUCCAGCAGCUGCUGGCCAAUGCACAUCUGUUAAGGCACAAAGUCAAGGGACACACUGUAAAACCCUAAACCUGCCCUGUGAGCCACACAGCAAAGGCCUUCCCUCCUUUCCUUCAUGUUACUAAGGGACACAGAGCUUCUAACAGCUUUAGCAGAGACUUACAGGAAGUGCUGGAAUGAAGAUCAUCACGUAGACCUGAGUUAACCUGGAAAGAGAGUUGUUUCCCCAGUUGGUAUUACAGCAAAGCAAGAGCCAAGCCAAACAGCGUUGUGCUCAAGCACCAGAGAGGCUUGAUUUCAACACUACAGAGCAACCCACCCACAGCAAAAAGCCCGAUCCAGAAGGGCUGGAUCUCACCCCUGACCUGGAGACCUCGGGGUCCUGUCGGAUGAGCAGGAGGAUUUGCUCAGUGUUGACGAAGAGUGCCCAGCAAGGGAAGCAGCACAGCAGCAGGAUGAGGGUGCCCCGCUGCAGGAUGGUGCCCACCUGCUUCAGGUUCUUGCUGCCAUACAUCUGAGCGAGGAGAGAGAGGACCAAGGUGGGGGUCUCAGGGAGCCAAAGGGUCUGGGCAAACUCUUAGGGCAACAACAGGCUGAUUAAAUGCAUUUCCCACAUCCUGCAGCGGUGAAUGCCAGGCUGGUUGGGUGUCACUGGCCUUCAGGUGGAUUGCACAUCCCUUUGCUACCCAAAGGGACCCAGGGCUCCCUGAGGGAGCUCCAAGGAGGGAGCAGGCUCCAGCCAGGGUGUCUGUAACCCUGUUCUGUCUGGAAGCUGCCACCCCCCUGCUCUUUGUGCCCAGAUCACACUGCACAGGAGGCGAGACAGCACCAGGUAAUCACCAUCAGGCACAGGAAAGGGGGAGCUGCCACUGACCUGGGUCAUCAGAGUGUCACAUGCUGAGGCUAAACCAGACCCGAUGGAGGUGCCUGUCACGUUGAUAACCUGGAGGAGAGACAGGGAUUCUGGCCCAGAGCACUGAGUCCCUCCCAGCUGGGUGGGUAGACAGUUCUGCUACAAGUUUUUGGGAAGUUUCCAGCCCUUCUCUAUUUCUCAGAAUAACAAAUCUUGUUAACUAAAUAGACUCUUCUCCCCUCUGCUGGGGAAAAGGAUCCUCUAGGAAGGGGUGAGUAUCUAAAGGACCAGUGCUGCUCCCAGCCCAGGUGCUGGCCUUGCACUGGCACAAGCACUGCCUGCUCAGCUCCCCUCUCCUGCCUGUGCUCAGGGCAAAAGGUAGAAUAUUUUGGUGGGUGUGAUGUCUGUGUUGCAUCAGGCUGUGCUGAUGCACAGGGCCCUCACACAUACGUUCCUACAGGUUUGAGGUGGGUUUUUUUUUGUAAUACCUAAUUUGUGUGUUUUAAAUCCGAGGGGAAUUGGAGUGAUACGUACGGACACAGCCAGUGACACGGCAUCCAGCUCAGCUUUCCCCAGGUGGCCACAGAAGAUGGAGCUGACCACGCUGAUCAGGAACCCCAGCAGCUGGGAGAGGAACUGGGAUGAGAGGAGAAGGAAACAGUGAGAUGAGGACCCAUUAGGGCUUGUGGAACAUCAGCCCUCCCCCAGGAGCUGGCCUAUGAACAGCCAGGUUUCCUGGUGUUUCGGUCUAUGCCUCCAGGCCAGGGCUCUGCUGUCCUGGGAACCUGUCCCUGCUUGCCAACACUGCUGGGGUGUGGGAGGCAGCUCUGGGACUCACCCAGGCUCUCCGUGGCUUUGUGUUUCAAAGCAAACAUCUACCUGCCCUGUAGUAUUUUGGUGUUACACACCCAAUCUGCCAGAUGACCUCAUUUACGGGAGGCUUAACGGCUUCACUAGAAAUCCUCUUUCCCAGGAUGAAGGUUGCAGAGAGAGGAAAAAUAAAACGUCCCAAUGCUUUUUUCACAUUUGCGUGCAUCUGUGGAAAACUAUCCUCCAAAACCACAACAUCCUCUCCUCCUGGAGAUACGCCAAGGCCAUUCUGUGUGUUCCUCUCCAGGGCCUACAGCAAAGUGCAUCGCAGAGAUUGCACUCCAAACGUCAUUUUCCCUUGGCAAGAGGAUGUCCCUUCUACAGGCGUCCAGGGCACAGAGUUGUGGCACAGCUCAAACCAGAUGGUAGGUGUUAGAGAUGUUCUUACCCACUGAGGGGUGGGUACAACUGGAAACCAUGCCCAGGGUCUGCUUGUGCUGCUUCCCACCCAGCAGCUGGCAAGCCAAGAGCCCAGCACCGCUGGAGAACCAGCUCUGUGGGGUCAGAGGAAGAGCAGAACAAACCCUUCUCCUCUGCAGACCUCCCACUGCUGCCUGCAGGUGCAGUCCUGCUGCCAGGCCCAGGCAUGCUGGACCUGCUGCUGUAUGAUGUGACAUCGUGAAAAAUUGUAUAGUAGUAGUGGUGAGUCAUAGCCACAGUCAUUUUGAUUUUACGUGCCAUGAUGAAAUCGGGGUGUUUCAGGACAAGAGAGUGCUCCUCUCCAUGGUCCUUCCUUCCCCUGUGGCCAGCAGAGCAGUGGGUGUUGGAUGCAUGUGCCAGAGCCUGUGCUGCCUGUGGGAUGGUGCUGCAGGGGCAGCUAUGAAGAAACAGAAGUAGUUAUCAGCAAACGGUGUGUCCUGGCUGGUGGUGUGACUGUCACCAGCCCGGCUGUGAGAUGGCCAGAGUGUUCCUGAGGCGCCGUUAUCUCCUCUGGAGGCAGAGGGAAGUGAUAAGACUCAGAUGGUGCCAUUCAUGGUCCCUCAACAACCAGUGCAAGUGUGAGUCCCUUUGAAGUUUACUGGUGACCCUGCUGAGAUCAAUACCCUUGGCUGGCAAAGAGUGGGGAGAGAAUCAGGCAGAGACCCGGGAAAAAGGACUUUGAAAAUAAAAAGCCGUAUCUUUUCAGGCUCGGGGGAGAAAUGUUAUCUCCCAGCCCCAAGAGCCAGGUCCUGGGCUGGUCCCCAGAGAGCCAAACACACACAAGAAGGGCUGUGAUUGAAAUCCCUCUCCUUGUGUUUUGCUGCUGCUGUUUGAAACCAACUCUUUGCUUUCAGAAGUGCUGUUUUGUGUUUCUGCAGUGACAUGUGAAUCCCAAUCUUGCUGGGAAGCAGGAGAAUGGGCACCCCAGGAUCUGGUCUGAUGUGCCCUGAGGCCUCCCUCAUCACUGGCAGGACAGACUGGGUGCUGGCUCAGCCUGCCCCCUCUCAGAUGGGCCUAUGAGCUGCCAAGGGGGAUGUGGAUCUGUGCAAACUCUCAGGCUGAGCCCUGCCCUGGCGCUGGAUGGCCCCACAUUCACCCCUUCUCUUCCUGUGUCAGCGACAAGGACCUUGCCAGCUGCCUGACAGGAUUCAGUGGGGCUCAUCUGCUGGAGCCCCCAGACGAUGAGGAGGGUCAAAGGUAGCACAAGCUGCCCUCAGCAAUCCGGAUAUUAACAGGGUUGCAACACCAGUUAGAAGAAUUUGAAGGGUCAAAUUCCACCGGAGUGUAACAUCGUUGAACUCGGCUGUUUUAGACCUCCAGCGAAUCUGGAGCAGCGUUUUGGAAGGGUGACACCUUAACACAGACCUGUUUAAAGGAGUUAAUGUGUGACUGGCCCCAAACCAGCUGGAGCAGGCAGAUGGCUUGCCCUGCUGGAGCUGGUUUUGGCAGCUGGGACCCUGUGCAGUUCUCAGCGAUGCUGAUGUGAAUCCAGAAGAAAGCAGCUGAGAGCAGAAGGAUUGCAGUUGGCUUGCACCAUCUGCAGAGCAGGAUUAGCCCUUUUUUUAUUGCAGAUUCCCAGAAGAUGGCUACCCUGGGCUUUCUCUGGAUAUGUAUGUCCAUAUUCUGAAAUGCAGCCAACAUCCUGCUACUAAAAUAAACCCCACAAAUGCGCCAUGUCUGGAACCGUCGCGAUUAAGAGCUACCAAAUAAGAAAAUAGUCAGGACACAAUGGAUUUAUGUCAAACACUGAACUGUUUGAAGUGUGUCCCUUUCCUUUAAGAGACCCUACUGCUGGCUAGUGUCCAGAUGCCAUGGAAAAUCCGCUCCCCUCCGUGCAAUGUGGAAUUCAGGAUACAGCUAAAUUAAACACUAAAGAGCCUUUUGCAGUCAAAUUAGGUUUUGUUUGUGUCACACUAUAGGAUCAGCUGAUGGGUGUAUAUCCCCCAGCUUGGUGUCAUUGGUGCUGGGCAGAAGCCACAAAGCCUGAUGAGCUCGGAAUCACAGAAUCAUUUAGUUUGGAAAAGCCCUCUGAGAGCGAGUCCAGCCAUUAACUCAGCACUGCCAGGUUACCCCGUGUCUGUGAGCGCCACAUCCACGCGGUUUUCGAACACUUCCAGGGAUGGCGACUCCACCACUGCCCUGGGCAGCCUGUUCCAGGGCUGGACAACCCUUUUGGUGAAGAAUUUUUCCCAAAUACCCAACCUAGACCUCUCGGGGACAUUUCCUCUUGUGCUAUCACUUGUCACCUGGGAGAAGAGACCCCCCCACACACCUGGCUACAAUCUGUUUCCAGGUAGUUCUAUAGCACGAUAAGGUCCCCCCUGAGCCACUUUUUCUCCUCGGUCCCAUCCCGGGGUGGCUCGUGCGCGGUGUCCCCGGCAGGUGGCACUGGAGCCCCGCAGGUCCCUCCAGGCGCUCCCGCAGCACCGGGAGCAGCACCGAGGACGGGAGGGGACGGAGAGGGGGGAGAUCCUGAUCCCCUUUUCCAGCCGUUCUUGUCUCCGCCCCUCGGGCUCAGCACUCUGACCCUGCCUCGUUCCGUGAGUAUUCGUAACUUUCCGUGCCGACAAGACCCUAAUGGGCAUCGGGUGUUUGUUAAAAAUCCGGGGGAAAUCACAAUGUUUGCCAAAUAUGGUCCAAAUAUAUGCCAAAUAUUUGGCAAAUACUUUGGAAGAAUGUUUGCUAAAUAGUGAAAAAUGCAAUAUAUACUAGUCGAAGGGGAUGCAAUAUGAAAAAAACAGUACACAGAAAAAAGGAAUAGGAGUUAGAAAAUUGCAGGUGGGCACUAUAUAGACAAGAAACUGCUUGUUAAAAGCCCUGGGGUGUUGGCUUUCUAAUACCAAUGUCUCAAGUUGGUUCUCAAAUGGGCAACCUGAAGCCAUGAUUUUGCUGUGGAACCAGCACCUAGGCAGGCACUCAGCCACUCACCAUGGUGUAACCUCAGUUCAGUCACACCUCACCUUGUGAUUUUGUUCAGUAAUAACAGCUGCUUUUUAUUUCAUUGUUCCUUAAGAGAGAGAAAUGCUUUUGACUUGUUCUGUAUUUCAGAGCAUCUUCCUCCUGCUUUGUUCACUAAAGAUGGGGCCAGACAUAUUAACUGCAGUUGUAAAUAUUAUUUUUACAACAGCAGAAUAUUUAUCUUGCUGCAUGGGUUGGUCGAGUUCGGGGCUACAGUCUUAAAAAACAGCUUCCCUGCCCUGAAGAGCCCAGAUACUUAAUUAAGGCAGAUAAGGCAGGAUAAAUAAAAACAAGACAAAACUCCUCUUGCUUUGAACCACCUCUAGGGAGCAGGUCUUGGCAAAAGAAAAGAGGGAUUGUAAAGCUGCAAUAAUAAUAAUAAUGAUAAUUAAUUGUAUUUAUAAAGCAUCCCCUAAUGGCUCUGGAUGCUACACAACGAUUUUAAAUACAACUGAAAGCAGCAACCAUCACGAGAAGCCAAAUAAGGAAGGGCUUUAAAAAUAAAGGUGUUUUUUACAGUAGAUAUUAAGGUUUCAGUGGGCUGGUUUGGGGCUCUCCUGCAGCGUGGACACACGGACAUCAGUCGGAAGCAGGUGAGGAUCCUGCAGUGAAUUUCACAGGCUUGCAGAUUGCAGGCUUUGAUUGCAAAGAGCAAAUACAUUUUGCAGCCUGGUUUGCAUGUCACCAUUUCUGCUUUAUUUCAUUUCUGUACUCCAGCCAGCCAGACUGUGUAACUCAACACAGCCCAAUUUACUUUUAUAUUUCU
Long non-coding RNA from Pseudopipra pipra, 11516 nucleotides. RefSeq lists it as uncharacterized. The transcript has 9 exons. The record is from RefSeq and is a predicted model, not a curated record. Lineage: Eukaryota; Metazoa; Chordata; Aves; Passeriformes; Pipridae.